RNAcentral lists this unclassified non-coding RNA (268 nucleotides) under fungal sp. RNAcentral's name for it is "partial internal transcribed spacer region". The stretch from base 1 to 46 matches the Rfam family "Eukaryotic small subunit ribosomal RNA", at positions 1786 to 1831 of the family's 1831-position model. The record is from RNAcentral. Lineage: Eukaryota; Fungi.
AAGUCGUAACAAGGUCUCCGUUGGUGAACCAGCGGAGGGAUCAUUACCGAGUUUACAAACUCCCAAACCCCAUGUGAACUUACCACUCUGUUGCCUCGGCGGGAUCGCCCCGGGAGAGCGGCCCCCUCAGCGGCCAGCACCGGACCCAGGCGCCCGCCGGCGGAACCCAAAACUCUUUUGUUUUUUUUACAACUGUAUCUCUGAUCAGGCCUUCGCGGCCGAAAAACACAAUGAAUCAAAACUUUCAACAACGGAUCUCUUGGUUCUG